Molecule: non-coding RNA, 993 nt
Organism: Oreochromis aureus
Lineage: Eukaryota; Metazoa; Chordata; Actinopteri; Cichliformes; Cichlidae
Source: the annotation of a RefSeq genome assembly
AAAUCAGUUUAACUUUGAUAAAUAUAAUUCUGCCUUUAAUAUAUGCUAUUAUAUUGUAUAUUAUAACAAUAAAUCAUCUGAAUAUUAUUAAGUGUUUAAGAUGAGCCAUUACAUGGCCGACAGGCACUGAUGGGUAGUUUGGUGAUAAUGAAGCCUGUCAGGUCACACUGAGUGAAAUUCUGUGUCUGCUGUCAAACUUCAGAUAUGCCGGUACUGAAGCCCUCGGUGACAGUGUACCAAGCAGCAUCCAGUGAUCAUCUGGAGGAGAAGAGAUCCCUGCUGUGUGUGGCCUCACAAAUGGUUCCUCCUGUGGUCCAGAUCACCUGGAAAAGGCAGGAGCAGGACGGAUCUUCGCUGGCAUUGACCCCUGGUGGCACAGAACAGCUGGACGUCAUAGAGUCCGAUUACACUGCCAGCAUCUUGUUGAUCCAUCAGCGAGACGAGAACUCACAUACAUAUGACUGUUCUGUCACACACGAGGGGGGGACGGUGGAGCAACAAAUAGAGGAAGGAGUUUCUCAAAGUCCACCAAAAGAACUUCCACCAGAUACACUUUCCACCAAUCAAACUUUAACAGAACGUCCAUCAUCAGAACAUCCUGUGUCUCAAAAACAAGUAAAACUGCUCUGCCUGGUGUACACGGUGCUGAUCACGAAGAGUCUGGUGUACUGCUGUGGAGUCUUUCUGCUCAGGCUCGUCAGACGCAACUGCAAACACGCAGCUGACUGACUGUUUCCUUCUUCUUGGCUUAUCGCUUUUUAUAUCAUUUAUCACUCAGGAUUUAGAAAAAUCUGUAACAGUGCAGCAUUUUGGCUGUUUUUUUACUUUCUUUUUUAUUUCAAUAUUAAAAAAGAGCUGAAACAGAAAAGGCUGAAUUAUUAGCUCCCUAGUAGAUAAUUCAUCAUUUAUAGCAUUUGUUUAAUUAAAACAAAGUGUUGCCUGCUCUUCAAAGUAUUUCUCUGCAAUAUUCCAAAUAAAGCAAACAAAAAAAUC